AUGGCCUUUGCACGAAACCCACGGCUUUGGUCAAAAGGUUCAACUUCAAAGAGACGGAUUUUCCAAGGGGACGAAGAAUCCAAAGGGGUCUGGAAUGUCUACACUGGGUGCGCUCCUUUGUUCCGGAGGCUUGUUUUCCUUUGCUCCUUCUGCAGCGCCGGGCCGCCUUCGCCCGCGCACCACGCCUCCUUUUUUUGGCUGUCAGAUCACCGGAAAAUCAAUAAAGGUCACUGCCGGUCCCCGGGGGCCUCCCCCCGCUCCCCACCCCCGGAGCCUGCUGAGCCCUCCCCCGGGGUGCAGGGAGACUUGGACACGCAUGCACCUAUGCUUCUGGCCCGCCUGAGCUGGGGGUGCACCUCCUCCAGGCAGGGUUGCAUUGCCCCCGCGGGGUCACUGGGUAUGCACCUGCAGGGGUGCUCCUGGAGGGGUGCUCCUGGAGGGCUGCACCUGCAGGGGUGUGCCCGGAGGGGUGCUCCUGGAGGGGUGCACCUGGAGGGCUGCAUCUGUAGGUGUGUGCCUGCAGGGGUGCUCCUGGAGGGCUGCACCUGCAGGGGUGUGCUUGCAGAGGUGCUCCUGGAGGGGUGCGCCUGGAGGGCUGCAUCUGCAUGUGUGUGCCCGGAGGGGUGCUUCUGGAGGGGUACACCCGGAGGGGUUUGCCUGGAGGGGUGUGCCUGGAGGGGUGUGCCUGCAGGGGUGCUCCUGGAGGGGUGCGCCUGCAUGGGUGUGCCUGGAGGGGUGCGUCCAGAGGGCUGCACCUGCAGGGGUGUGCCCAGAGGAGUGCACCCGGAGGAGUUUACCUGGAGGGGUGUGCCUGGAGGGGUGUUCCUGGAGGGCUGUGCCUGCAGGGGUGCGCCUGGAGGGGUGCUCCUGGAGGGGUGCACCCAGAGGGGUUUGCCUGGAGGGAUGCUCCUGGAGGGGUGCGCCUGCAGGGGUGUUCCUGGAGGGCUGCGCCUGCAGGGGUGUGCCUGGAGGGGUACGUCCAGAGGGCUGCACCUGCAGGGCUGCAUCUGCAGGGGUGCUCCUGGAGGGAUGCUCCUAGAGGGCUGUGCCUGCAGGGGUGCUCCUGGAGGGGUGCGCCUGGAGGGCUGCACCUGCAGGUGUGUGCCCAGAGGGGUGCUCCUGGAGGGGUGCACCCGGAGGGGUUUGCCUGGAGAGGUGUUCCUGGAGGGCUGCGCCUGCAGGGGUGCUCCUAGAGGGAUGCUCCUGGAGGGCUGUGCCUGCAAGGGUGCACCUGGAGGGGUGCGCCUGCACAGAUGUGCCUGGAGGGGUACGUCCAGAGGGCUGCACCUGCAGGGGUGUGCCCAGAGGGGUGCACCCGGAGGGAUUUUCCUGGAGAGGUGCUCCUGGAAGGGUGUUCCUGGAGGGCUGCGCCUGCAGGGGUGUGUCUGGAGGGGUGCGCCUGGAGGGGUGUGCCUGCAGGGCUACACCUGGAGGGCUGCUCCUGGAGGGGUGCUCCUGGAGGGCUGCACCUGGCGGGGUGCACCAAGCGGGCACGGAGCGGGACGCAGUGCCCAGCAGGGGCGCCCAGGCCUUCCGUGGGCACAAACCCCUGGCCAGGGCUCAGGGCAGCAGGCGUUGGCCAGAGAGGACAGGGCCCCCGCCCCCAGGGCUGCUCUGCUGGCGAGGAAGGGGACAGAUGCUCCCCUGAGCAGCCCUGCGUGGAGUCGGGCGCCGCCGAGGGCCUGCAGGUGGGGGUGCGGGUGGGGCGCCCGCUGA
This 1716-nucleotide long non-coding RNA is filed under the name Canis lupus dingo (dingo). RNAcentral describes it as "lncRNA (ENSCAFG00020019913.1)". Lineage: Eukaryota; Metazoa; Chordata; Mammalia; Carnivora; Canidae. The record is from RNAcentral.